CCUACGGGUGGCAGCAGUGAGGAAUAUAGGUCAAUGGCCGGAAGGCUGAACCAGCCAAGCCGCGUGAAGGACGAAGGUGCCAAGCAUUGUAAACUUCUUUUGUCAAGGGACAAAAUCAGGCUCGAGAGCAUGACCGAGGGUACUUGAAGAAAAAGCAUCGGCUAACUCCGUGCCAGCAGCCGCGGUAAUACGGAGGAUGCGAGCGUUAUCCGGAUUUAUUGGGUUUAAAGGGUGCGUAGGCGGGCUGUUAAGUCAGCGGGAAAAUCGUGGGGCUAAACCCCAUCCAGCCGUUGAAACUGGGGAGCUAGAGUGUGCGAGAGGUAAGCGGAAUGCGUGGUGUAGCGGUGAAAUGCAUAGAUAUCACGCAGAACCCCGAUGGCGAAGGCAGCAUACCGGUGCACAACUGACGCUCAGGCACGAAAGCGUGGGUAUCGAACAGGAUUAGAUACCCGUGUAGUC
This 459-nucleotide ribosomal RNA is filed under the name uncultured bacterium. RNAcentral's name for it is "partial 16S ribosomal RNA". It matches the Rfam family "Bacterial small subunit ribosomal RNA", at positions 338 to 795 of the family's 1533-position model. The record is from RNAcentral.